Molecule: ribosomal RNA, 661 nt
Filed under: uncultured Arthrobacter sp.
Lineage: Bacteria; Bacillati; Actinomycetota; Actinomycetes; Micrococcales; Micrococcaceae
Description: bacterial SSU rRNA
Rfam family: Bacterial small subunit ribosomal RNA
Source: RNAcentral
UCGCGGCCUAUCAGCUUGUUGGUGGGGUAACGGCCCACCAAGGCUUCGACGGGUAGCUGGUCUGAGAGGACGACCAGCCACACUGGGACUGAGAUACGGCCCAGACUCCUACGGGAGGCAGCAGUAGGGAAUCUUGCGCAAUGGGCGAAAGCCUGACGCAGCGACGCCGCGUGAGGGAUGACGGCCUUCGGGUUGUAAACCUCUUUCAGCGGGGACGAAGCGCAAGUGACGGUACCCGCAGAAGAAGCACCGGCCAACUACGUGCCAGCAGCCGCGGUAAUACGUAGGGCGCAAGCGUUAUCCGGAAUUAUUGGGCGUAAAGAGCUCGUAGGCGGUUUGUCGCGUCUGCCGUGAAAGUCCGGGGCUCAACUCCGGAUCUGCGGUGGGUACGGGCAGACUAGAGUGAUGUAGGGGAGACUGGAAUUCCUGGUGUAGCGGUGAAAUGCGCAGAUAUCAGGAGGAACACCGAUGGCGAAGGCAGGUCUCUGGGCAUUAACUGACGCUGAGGAGCGAAAGCAUGGGGAGCGAACAGGAUUAGAUACCCUGGUAGUCCAUGCCGUAAACGUUGGGCACUAGGUGUGGGGGACAUUCCACGUUUUCCGCGCCGUAGCUAACGCAUUAAGUGCCCCGCCUGGGGAGUACGGAAGCUUGGAAUUCGCCC